UGUGUAGGUGGCGCGCUAAGUCGGGUGUGAAAUUUCGGAGCUUAACUCCGAAACUGCAUUCGAUACUGGCGUGCUUGAGGACUGGAGAGGAGACUGGAAUUUACGGUGUAGCAGUGAAAUGCGUAGAUAUCGUAAGGAGGACCAGUGGCGAAGGCGGGUCUCUGGACAGUUCCUGACACUGAGACACGAAGGCCAGGGGAGCAAACG
This 207-nucleotide ribosomal RNA is filed under the name uncultured bacterium. RNAcentral describes it as "partial 16S ribosomal RNA". It matches the Rfam family "Bacterial small subunit ribosomal RNA", at positions 568 to 774 of the family's 1533-position model. The record is from RNAcentral.